CCUACGGGAGGCAGCAGUGAGGAAUAUUGGACAAUGGGCGCAAGCCUGAUCCAGCCAUGCCGCGUGCAGGAUGAAGCAUCUAUGGUGUGUAAACUGCUUUUGUACAGGAAGAAACCUCCCGACGUGUCGGGAAUUGACGGUACUGUAAGAAUAAGGAUCGGCUAACUCCGUGCCAGCAGCCGCGGUAAUACGGAGGAUCCAAGCGUUAUCCGGAAUCAUUGGGUUUAAAGGGUCCGUAGGCGGGCCAGUAAGUCAGUGGUGAAAUCUCUCCGCUCAACGGGGAAAUGGCCAUUGAUACUGCUGGUCUUGAAUUAUUAGGAAGUAACUAGAAUAUGUAGUGUAGCGGUGAAAUGCUUAGAGAUUACAUGGAAUACCAAUUGCGAAGGCAGGUUACUACUAAUGGAUUGACGCUGAUGGACGAAAGCGUGGGUAGCGAACAGGAUUAGAUACCCUGGUAGUCCACGCCGUAAACGAUAGGAUACUAGCUGUUGGGGGCAACGUUCAGUGGCUAAGCGAAAGUGAUAAGUAUCCCACCUGGGGAGUACGUUCGCAAGAAUGAAACUUAAAGGAAAUUGACGG
Molecule: ribosomal RNA, 579 nt
Filed under: uncultured bacterium
Lineage: Bacteria
Description: bacterial SSU rRNA
Rfam family: Bacterial small subunit ribosomal RNA
Source: RNAcentral